This 912-nucleotide ribosomal RNA is filed under the name uncultured bacterium. Its description in RNAcentral is "bacterial SSU rRNA". It matches the Rfam family "Bacterial small subunit ribosomal RNA", at positions 8 to 917 of the family's 1533-position model. The record is from RNAcentral.
AGAGUUUGAUCCUGGCUCAGAACGAACGCUGGCGGCGCGCCUAAUACAUGCAAGUCGAGCGAGAAGACGUAGCAAUACGUUUGUAAAGCGGCGAACGGGUGAGGAAUACAUGGGUAACCUACCCUCGAGUGGGGAAUAACUAGCCGAAAGGUUAGCUAAUACCGCAUACGACUCUCGGUCUGCGGAUCGAGAGGGAAAGCGAUACCGUGGGUAUCGCGCUCAUGGAUGGGCUCAUGUCCUAUCAGCUUGUUGGUGAGGUAACGGCUCACCAAGGCUUCGACGGGUAGCUGGUCUGAGAGGACGAUCAGCCACACUGGCACUGCGACACGGGCCAGACUCCUACGGGAGGCAGCAGUAAGGAAUAUUGCGCAAUGGGCGACAGCCUGACGCAGCGACGCCGCGUGGGGGAUGAAGGUCUUCGGAUUGUAAACCCCUUUCGGCAGGGAAGAUGGAACGGGUAACCGUUCGGACGGUACCUGCAGAAGCAGCCACGGCUAACUUCGUGCCAGCAGCCGCGGUAAUACGAAGGUGGCAAGCGUUGUUCGGAUUUACUGGGCGUACAGGGAGCGUAGGCGGUUGGGUAAGCCCUUCGUGAAAUCUCCGGGCCUAACCCGGAAAGUGCGGAGGGGACUGCUCGGCUAGAGGAUGGGAGAGGAGCGCGGAAUUCCCGGUGUAGCGGUGAAAUGCGUAGAGAUCGGGAGGAAGGCCGGUGGCGAAGGCGGCGCUCUGGAACAUAUCUGACGCUGAGGCUCGAAAGCGUGGGGAGCAAACAGGAUUAGAUACCCUGGUAGUCCACGCCUUAAACUAUGAAUACUAAGUGUCGGCGGGUUACCGCCGGUGCCGCAGCUAACGCAUUAAGUAUUCCGCCUGGGAAGUACGGCCGCAAGGUUGAAACUCAAAGGAAUUGACGGG